UAACUCCUUUAAUAUAAUGCUUAGGUAUUAGACAUUAGUCAUUUGAAUAUUAUCGGUGCGUUACAUGCUACUUUUAACUCAAAAUACAUUCUCCUUUACCGGGUCCGUUAUAGUGAUAUAUAUGUAUAUAUAAAAAUAAAAAUGUGUUAUAUAAACAUUAUAUUUUGUUACAAACACUAAAACGUACCGAGGAAAGGUUGUAUCGACAAUAUUCAAACUAGGAUAUAACCCUGAUAUAUCUCAUUAAAUCUAAAAGUACCUACAUUAAAAGAUAGAAUACACUUAUAGAGUUUGGAAAAAAGAAAAAUAAAGGAAAAUUACCAUCGGACAGCACCUCGUAAGCCUCAGAUAUUUCUUUGAAACGCCUGUUAGCUUCAUCUGCAUUAUCUGGAUUCUUGUCUGGAUGCCAUUUUAAUGCUAAUUUUCUGUAACUGAAAAUUUUAAAUGUUUUUGAAAUAAUGCCAUAUGAACAUGAUAUCUAAAAAAAUAAUUGUUCAUUGUUCUAUUGCAUAUUGAUACUACAAAAAACAGAGAUGAACCUACGCUUUUUUUAUCUCCGCAUCCGUAGAAGAUCUUGAAACACCAAGUAUUCUAUAGUAGUCCACCAUCUCUAUGUUCCCUCAAGGGGUUUUAUAUAUUCUGAAAUAUAAACAAAAUACUGAAGAUCGCUUUAACAUAAAACUUUUCCAUGAACUAUAUUUUUGUUGUAACAAUAUUUAAUCUAAAAUGUUGGAUACAUGCAUCAAAUGUUUUUUGUAUUUCAAUAUUUCUUUUUAUAUCUUAGCAUUUUAUAUUAUGUUUAUAUGUAGCAGACAUUCCAUAUAUGUGGAAAGUCUAUGAAAAUAUAGCUUUAUGACAUAUUAUUGUAUUUCCCAAAAAACCUACCUAAAAUAUUAAAAUUGAAAUUUUCAGAUGACAUUGAUUAUUACAUCGUCAAACUGGAAUUAUUUAGUAUGUUUAUUUGUUUACAUAUAAGAACUCAUUCUGUCAAUAUGGAACUGCAUACAGAAAAUGUUUUGAAGCUUAAUUUGAAGGCAUUGAAAAUAUUUAUGAUAUUUUUACAUGUUGCAACAGAAGUUACAAAUGUGUCCAUUUAAAUGUUAAAUAUAUAAGAGUUUUAACUACUUAUUAAAGAAUCUGAGACUA
Molecule: long non-coding RNA, 1146 nt
Organism: Danaus plexippus (monarch butterfly)
Lineage: Eukaryota; Metazoa; Arthropoda; Insecta; Lepidoptera; Nymphalidae
Exons: 2
Source: RefSeq, a predicted model, not a curated record